Molecule: ribosomal RNA, 509 nt
Filed under: uncultured bacterium
Lineage: Bacteria
Description: bacterial SSU rRNA
Rfam family: Bacterial small subunit ribosomal RNA
Source: RNAcentral
AUGGCUCAGAUUGAACGCUGGCGGCAGGCCUAACACAUGCAAGUCGAACGGUAACAGGAAGCAGCUUGCUGCUUGCUGACGAGUGGCGGACGGGUGAGUAAUGUCUGGGAAACUGCCCGAUGAGGGGGAUAACUACUGGAAACGGUAGCUAAUACCGCAUAAUGUCGCAAGACCAAAGAGGGGGACCUUCGGGCCUCUUGCCAUCGGAUGUGCCCAGAUGGGAUUAGCUAGUUGGUGAGGUAACGGCUCACCAAGGCGACGAUCCCUAGCUGGUCUGAGAGGAUGACCAGCCACACUGGAACUGAGACACGGUCCAGACUCCUACGGGAGGCAGCAGUGGGGAAUAUUGCACAAUGGGCGCAAGCCUGAUGCAGCCAAUGCCGCGUGUAUGAAGAAGGCCUUCGGGUUGUAAAGUACUUUCAGCGGGGAGGAAGGGGUUAAGGUUAAUAACCUUAGCCAUUGACGUUACCCGCAGAAGAAGCACCGGCUAACUCCGUGCCAGCCGCCGC